This 399-nucleotide ribosomal RNA is filed under the name uncultured bacterium. Its description in RNAcentral is "bacterial SSU rRNA". It matches the Rfam family "Bacterial small subunit ribosomal RNA", at positions 30 to 429 of the family's 1533-position model. The record is from RNAcentral.
AUUGAACGCUGGCGGCAUGCCUUACACAUGCAAGUCGAACGGCAGCACGGGAGCUUGCUCCUGGUGGCGAGUGGCGAACGGGCGAGUAAUGCAUCGGAACGUGCCCUGAAGUGGGGGAUAACGUAGCGAAAGUUACGCUAAUACCGCAUAUUCUGUGAGCAGGAAAGCAGGGGAUCUUCGGACCUUGCGCUUUUGGAGCGGCCGAUGUCGGAUUAGCUAGUUGGUGAGGUAAAGGCUCACCAAGGCGACGAUCCGUAGCGGGUCUGAGAGGAUGAUCCGCCACACUGGAACUGAGACACGGUCCAGACUCCUACGGGAGGCAGCAGUGGGGAAUUUUGGACAAUGGGCGCAAGCCUGAUCCAGCCAUGCCGCGUGAGUGAAGAAGGCCUCGGUUGUAAG